GCCUCAAGAGACCCUCCCACCUAAGCCUCUCAGAGUGCUGGGAUUACAGGUGUGAGCCACUGCACCUGGCCAACUUCUCCCUUCUCUUGAAUCCUUGCUGCCUCACGACAGGUGUCAGAGCGGCACCACCACACCGCAAAGUGAAGAGAUGAUGCCGUGCCUGGGAGGGUGGCUGGAGAGUCCCCCAUCACUGCUAGUAUGGGAACGGUGAUGGUAUGCAGAGAGGAGGUGUGGUUAGAAGGUCAGACAUGCUGUUGUGAGAGAGACGAAAGGGUUACACUGCGGUUCUCACUGCCUGCCUGAAGUGACAGCCGAAGGCUGAGCAGACCUCCGGGAAGUGGUCAUGAGGAUCUGGCUCGAUCUGCUGAAAAUAUAAUCUAGGCCAUCAGAAAAGAGGAGGGAAGAGCUGGAGCUGUGAAGAAAGAUGAGAUCACUGAGAGCUGCUGAGUCCCAAAGAAUCAAAACGAAGCCCUGCUCUGAGGCUUGUGGGUGAGCCUGGUGACCUUCCUUUCUUUUGAACUGUCUUCAUGUCUUCUCAUUUUUACGUAGUUGUGGCUACUCUUUGGGGAAAGUGUGGCUGCUUUUCUCUGUCUGCACAGAAGCAAUGCAAGGUUAUAGACUCCGGAACAUGAGAGCCAGAAGGAGCCACGAGAAGGGUAGGGGAAACGUCUGUUUUACAGAGGAGGACCCAAAUCUUAGGCAGCUUGCUGAGGCCACAGAGCUCACAGGGGAAUUUAGUUUGUUGACUUCCAGCUUGGAAUUCUUUGUCACACAAGUGUUGGGGCUCAUAAAAUAAUGCCCAAAAUGUGGCACUUGACGAGCUGAACUAAAGCAGCAGCUUCAAGGUUUCUCUCUGGCUUUCCCCCGCCAUCGUGUGUCUGUGACCCUUUCUUUUCUUUUCUUUUUUUUUUUUUUUUGACCCUUUUCUAAAGCACCAGGAGCAUGCUGUCUCUCUGACCUUUUUCUUUUCUUUUCAACCCUUUCUUUUCUAAAGCACCAGGAGGACCUCUUUCUCUGGAAGUUCCCUUACCUGAUUAAGAACACUUCUAAAAUAAAUGCAGCCGUCUUAAAGCCCCCUCCCUAUGAAUCUCAUUAAAUAACCAGGAAUGAUUAAUCACCCAAGAAAAGACUGAAAAAGAAGCUACAGCCAGGAUACCAUACCCAGACAGACUUUUCGUCUUUUCUUCUGAGGGAGGUUCCAAGAGAUAACCUGGGAGACUGUAUCUGCAUAAUAAGACAACCUUAGUUCACAGUGCAGUACCACCCCUCACCUUCCAUGACUUGUCCACAAGCUAUUGUUUGUCCUUCAGUCCCAUUCAGCAUCCAAAGAGAACCAUUUGCAAACCACUGUCAGGUAUUUGGGUCCAUUCAUUUACAGCCCCCCAGCUCCCUUUCCCUAGUGAAGAGAGUAUUUAAGUGCCAACCAUUGGGCCUUUCUGUGUAUGUUCAUAUUUUUUAUAUGGCUUCCCUGCUUCAUGCAUGUUAAUAAAUUUGUUAUGAUUUUCUCUUGUUAA
This 1514-nucleotide long non-coding RNA is filed under the name Homo sapiens (human). Its description in RNAcentral is "HSALNT0345683". The record is from RNAcentral. Lineage: Eukaryota; Metazoa; Chordata; Mammalia; Primates; Hominidae.